RNAcentral lists this ribosomal RNA (486 nucleotides) under uncultured bacterium. Its description in RNAcentral is "bacterial SSU rRNA". It matches the Rfam family "Bacterial small subunit ribosomal RNA", at positions 11 to 544 of the family's 1533-position model. The record is from RNAcentral.
GUUUGAUCAUGGCUCAGAACGAACGCUGGCGGCAGGCCUCAAACAUGCAAGUCUAGGGGGUGUAGCAAUACAUCACCGGCGGACGGGUGCGUAACGCGUGGGAAUAUACCUAUUGGUUCGGAACAACUGAGGGAAACUUCAGCUAAUACCGGAUGAGCCCGCAAGGGGAAAGAUUUCUCGCCAAUGGAUUAGCCCGCGUCCGAUUAGCUAGUUGGUGGGGUUAUGGCCUACCAAGGCAACGAUCGGUAGCUGUUCUGAGAGGAAGAUCAGCCACACUGGGACUGAGACACGGCCCAGACUCCUACGGGAGGCAGCAGUUGGGAAUCUUGGACAAUGGGGGAAACCCUGAUCCAGCCAUGCCGCGUGAGUGAUGAAGGCCUUCGGGUUGUAAAACUCUUUCGACGGGGACGAUAAUGACGGUACCCGUAGAAGAAGCUCCGGCUAACUUCGUGCCAGCAGCCGCGGUAAUAACCUAAAUAGCGCUGU